Molecule: long non-coding RNA, 458 nt
Organism: Trachemys scripta elegans
Lineage: Eukaryota; Metazoa; Chordata; Testudines; Emydidae
Exons: 3
Source: RefSeq, a predicted model, not a curated record
GUUAUAUUUCAGUACGCAUGAGAAAGCUGACAAAGCCUGAUUCUUCUAACUGAGGAUAGUUGUGUGGCUAAGGUGGCGCACUAGGAUCUAGAAAUCCGGUUAAGGAGUCUGACUGUAGCUAGUUGUUGACCAACAGUAUGGGGAACAUUAUGGUUGCAUAUAGUCAUUUGAUGAUGGAUGUGAGCACAAAAUGGGGAAUUUGGUCUAGCUCUAUUGUGGAAACAUUGCUGUUGGGCGUAAGAAAAAAGCUUCUUGUUUUCCAAAGCUUCACCUUGGAGCCGAGUUAAUAUCGACAGUGUCCCUUCAACUUUGUACCAUUAAAAGCUGCGGGUGGGUAUUUUCUCAGAACUAGCAGUGACCACAUGAAAAACAUUAUUAACUAAAGGUCAAAGGUGAGAUUUUCAAACGCUCUCCGCCUUGGCUUCAAUGAGACCAUGAGACCAACGGAGAGCACUUUA